UGAAGAUGAAUACCUGAAACGGCCU
Molecule: non-coding RNA, 25 nt
Filed under: Mus musculus (house mouse)
Lineage: Eukaryota; Metazoa; Chordata; Mammalia; Rodentia; Muridae
Source: RNAcentral